ACAGACCAUUUGGAGAUGUUCCUCAUGUCCUCUUUUAGUUUUAAUCCAUUGUUCUUUUGAGUUUUUCUACUGAAUCUACAUUCCCCACCUUUUCAUGCAGCACAUUCCAGUCACAACUCACCAUGUUUUAAAAAAACAGUAUAAUCACUUCCUUUUCAUCUUUUGCUGGUCACUUCAAAUCUGUAUCUUCAGAUUACCAACCUUUCCACCAGCAAAAACAGUCUAGGAUUGGACUAUUGAGUCUCUUGAGCCUCUUCCUGAACUUCUGUUAAAACGAUCAUGACUUUGAACUCUGUCAGUCUCAUCCUAGCUCUUUCUCUGUUCUAAGAAGUACAACUCUUCUGCAGUCUUUCCACAUUUGUUAAACCUGUUAUUAAUAAAAAUGCAAGUUGUUGUUAUGUUGUUACGUUUCCUGAUAACAGGAAACCUUGCAUUAAAAACUCCACUUCGUAACAAGUCAAUAGUUCUAUCAGAGUCUGCAGUUUGAAGCUCUCUGACGAGACUCCCAGACAAGACAAGUCAAACAUCUGGCACAGAAAGCAGAUCAUAAACAGACUAACUCAGGCACCACAGCUCAGGACUGCAAGGAUUCAAAGGCUGUCGUCAAGGAGCCUGUAGCACCCACGGCUGCCAAUGCAUCCUUAUAAACCUGUCAACACGCGAUAGGGUGUAUAUGUAUGAGGAAAUGACCAAUACCAUUAUAUGAAUUUAUGUGAAGACAACACUAACAGAUUGCAAGUGAAAAAAAUAAUGCAUGGUGCAGUUAAUGUGCAAGGGAAAUGAGCAGACUGUAUUGAUUCCCCUUUGCAAUGAAAAAUAAAUACUUGUGUCGGUUACCUGUUAGCAGUAGAUUUGCUCUCAUGCUCUGAGCUCAUAUAUCAAUUUUUAGUGGAAAGUGAUUUUUUUAAAAAGUUGAUAAGAUAAAUAUACUUCAGCACCAUUGGCUAUAAAUACUUCACCAUUGUUUCAGCAACAACCAAUUUUUCUUACUGUAGCUUUAGUUUCAGCUUUUUAUGAUGCUUGAGUAAAGUUAACCAAUGGCAGUGCCGUGAGAGUUGUAGUUGUUGUCUUCAUAUAUAGUCAUCCAGCUUAUCUUUUUAUGCUGAUAUAAGCAUUUGUCAUACUAUAUGCAUAUAUAUGAUAAAGAUACAGACUGCUACUCAAGAGUUGUAUGCAAAGGCAAAACCUGAAUCAUAAAGAAAAAUGCUUAUUGAUACAUGAACUGAUGUUAGCACUGAUCAGUAGAGGUUAUAAGAUUAUACUCCAGGAAAGCAGUUAUGGUGUUUGAUUUUCAUUACCAUCAGAGGUUUAAGGUGUCUUACCUAGUAGUAACAUUUUGUAUCCUUUGCUCAUCUGUUCUGUGAAGCACAUCUACACCCAUUCUGUGUGUUGUACAACCCACCGUGUGCAUCAACUGAGUGUUUUUAAUAACUGCAUUCAGACCUGGAUAAAUAAGGUAAUCUUACCAGAAAGGUCCAGGUCUACAGAAAAGAAUAUCGCAGUGAUAUAUUUAAAAUAUGUGGUUAUGGGUAAUCUAUGAUAAUUGGGCAGAAGGUGUCAAUCUUGGUUGAAUUUUAUACGGAUUACGUAGUUUUGAAUUAAUGAUUGGUCAAAUGCAGUAAAACCACAUCAGUUCAUGUGUAA
This is a non-coding RNA of Chiloscyllium plagiosum (whitespotted bambooshark), 1644 nucleotides long. Lineage: Eukaryota; Metazoa; Chordata; Chondrichthyes; Orectolobiformes; Hemiscylliidae. The record is from RefSeq and is a predicted model, not a curated record.